This 12657-nucleotide ribosomal RNA is filed under the name Triticum aestivum (bread wheat). RNAcentral's name for it is "partial small subunit ribosomal RNA". The record is from RNAcentral. Lineage: Eukaryota; Viridiplantae; Streptophyta; Magnoliopsida; Poales; Poaceae.
AUGUUCGAGGGCCACGUGCUGUUUUUGCUUCGCAAAUAUUUGGGUGAAUAUGUUGAAGGACUUUCUGUUGAAGCACUUAGAAUAAGUGUGUGGAAAGGCGAUGUCGUCCUUAAAGACUUGAAACUGAAGGCUGAAGCACUCAAUUCUCUUCAGCUUCCAGUAACAGUGAAAGCUGGGUUUGUUGGCACCAUAACAUUGAAGGUUCCAUGGAAAAGCUUGGGUAAAGAACCAGUUAUUGUUCUUAUUGAUCGUCUAUUCAUUCUUGCUCAUCCUGCUCCUGAUGGGCAAACUCUGAAGGAAGAAGACAGAGAAAAGCUUUUUGAAGCCAAGCUUCAGCAGAUUGAGGCUGCAGAGACAACAACUCUUGAAGCGACAAGUAGGAGCUCAAAAGGAGGACCUAUACCAGGUGGAAAUUCAUGGCUAUACAAUUUAAUAUCUACAAUAAUUGGAAAUCUUAAAGUCACCAUCAGCAACGUACACAUCAGAUAUGAAGAUUCUGUCAGCAAUGCUGGGCAUCCAUUUGCUUCUGGUUUCACUUUAUCGAAACUUGCAGCUGUUACAGUUGAUGAGGAUGGUAAUGAGACGUUUGAUGCAGGUGUAGCAUUAGAUAAGCUGCGAAAGUCGGUCGAACUGCAUAUGUUAGCCAUCUACCACGAUUCUGACAGCAAUCCUUGGAAGCUCCCCAAGAAAUGGGAGGAUCUUAAUCCUGGUGAAUGGAGCGAGGUAUUUCAAGAUGGCAUCGAUGAUCGUCCUGGCAAUUCUAUUUGGGCGAUGAAUCGGAGAUAUUUGGUUUCCCCUAUAAAUGGAACCCUUAAAUAUAAUCGACUUGGACAGCAGGAAAGAGGGGACCUGAACAAUCCUCUAGAGAAAGCAUCACUUGUCCUAAGUGAUGUUUCUCUAACAGUUACUGAGGCCCAGUAUUAUGAUUGCAUUAAACUGUUGGAAACAUUUUCAAGAUUCAGGACACGUGUUGAUGUUUCUCACUUACGGCCUAUUGUGCCUGUUAAAGAGGAUUGUCGUGCUUGGUGGCGUUAUGCUGUGCUGGCUGGUCUGCGACAAAAGAAAUUAUGCUAUUGGUUCUCAUGGGAGAGAACUAGAUAUCUGUGCCAGCUUCGUCGUCGUUAUGUUCAACUUUAUGCAACCCUACUGCAGCAAGCACCUAGUGUUGAUAUUUACGAAAUUCGGCAGAUUGAGAAAAUUCUAGACUCAAAAGUUAUUAUACUUUGGAGGUUGCUGGGUCAUGCUAAAGUUGAAACCGUGAAAUCUAAGGAAACAUUGCAUAAGAAGGGCUCCUCAAAGAGAAGAUGGUGGCCUUUUGGAUGGAACUCGGCUGGGUUGCCUUCUGAAGAAGGUGGCGGAUUAGAACCACAGUUGGAUGAGGAGCAGCUAACUAAAGAAGAGUGGCAGGCUAUAAAUAAAUUGCUAAGUUACCAACCGGAUGAUGAACUAUCAUUUCCUGUUGAAAAGGUCUCACCAAACACAAUCCGCUUCUUGGUGGACGUGUCUAUUGGCCAAGCUGCUGCGAGGAUCAUCAAUAUUGGUCACAUAGAGGUUAUGUGUGGUAGAUUUGAGCAGCUUCAAGUGGUCACCAGUUUGUAUCCGAAGAGUACUCGAUGUGAUGUAACUUUAAGAUAUUGUGGCCUGUCAUCCCCUGAAGGUUCUCUUGCUGAGAGCGUUGUCUGUGAGGGGAAGACUAAUGCUCUAGAUGUCAGUUUUGUGCGCGCACCUAUUGGCAUGGAUUUGGAUUGGCAGUUUGUGGCAAAGAUAUCUCCAUGCUAUGUUACGGUUUUGAAGGGGAGUUAUGAACGGUUUCUGGAGUUCAUCAAACGGAGCAAUGCUGUCAGCCCAACAGUGGCAAUGGAGACAGUCACCGCUCUGCAAAUUAAAUUAGAGCAGGUUACACGUAGGGCUCAGGAGCAGCUUCAGAUAGUACUGGAAGAGCAGAGCAGGUUUGGACUUGAGAUCGAUUUGGAUGCACCGAAAGUUAGGAUUCCCUUAAUCGGCAGUGAGCAAUUUGUCCUGGAUCUUGGCCAUUUUACAUUGCAUACAAGAGAUGGAACACGGGAUGAAGAAAGACAGAGUUUGUAUUCACGCUUUUAUAUUGCCGGCAGGGAUAUGGCUGCUUUUCUUGUUUGUGAUGUAGCUGAAGGCAUAUAUUCCGCACCGGAAAAUCUGUCUCACAGUGUGCUCCCAGGUCCUACUGCUGAUGCUAAUCGGUUCUGUUCUCUUCUUGAUCGCUGCGGAAUGUCAGUGAUAAUUGACCAGAUCAAAGUUCCACAUCCGAGUUAUCCAUCGACCCGUGUUUCUUUUCAAGUACCCAAUCUGGAUAUCCACUUCUCACCAAAAAGGUACUGCAAAAUUGUCGAGCUGCUUGGUGUAGUUUACCAGUUGAAGGGGAACAAUAAUGAAGAAUCGAGCAGCUAUGAAAAUGGUAAUCUGGCGCCUUGGCAUCCUGCUGAUCUAGCUGGUGAUGCUAGAACUUUGGUUUGGAGGGGCCUUGGCUAUUCACUAGCUGAGUGGCAUACCUGUCAUGUUGUAUUAUCUGGGAUGUAUCUGUAUAUCUUGGAGUCAGAAUUAUCCCAAAAUUACCAAAGGUGUUGUAGCAUGGCAAGCCGGCAAGUAUUUGACGUGCCAUCAGCUAGUGUUGGUGGGUCUCUUUACAGUAUUGCUGUGUGUUCUAGAGGUGCAGAUAUACAGAAGGCACUAGAAUCAACCAGCACACUGAUAGUUGAAUUUCAUAAUGAAAUAGAGAAGGCCAAUUGGAUGAAAGUGCUUGUCCAAGCAACAUAUCGAGCUUCCGCACCUCCUGAGCUGAACAUAUUAGGAGAUCCUUUCAGUUCUGCUCCAGAAACAAGCACUCCAAGGCUUAGCAGUUUGGGGUCAGUGGAUCUCCUUGUGAAUGGCUCUGUAAUUGAAACAAAGCUUUCACUCUAUGGAAGGUUGGACAGAAAGAACAGAGAUCCAGAAGAGCUUCUAAUGUUAGAGCUCCUUGGGAAUGGGGGAAAGGUUAAUGUUGUUCAAUCUUCUCGUGGUCUAAGUGUGAAAACAAAGCUGCAUUCAUUGAAGAUAAAGGAUGAGCUACAUGGUCGUCUUUCAAUGUCUACGAAGUAUUUAGUAUGUUCUGUUAUCAAUGAAGAUUUGGAGUCCUUUCCUAAGAAAAAUGAAGAUUUGCAGCCUGAAGGUUCUUUUACACCUGACAUGGAGGAUCACCCCAAAUCCUUCUCUGUGGAGGAAGAUUCAUUCAUGGAUGCAUUGACAGAUUUUACUUCUGACCAAAGUUUCAAUCUCCCUGAUCAUGAUAUUCCAUCAAACUCAAUGUCUGAUCUGAAUGAGUACACUUUAUGCUUUGAUGGCGAUCAGCAAAAUUUGAAACCUACUGAAAUUUUCUAUGAGGCACAAGACAACAAUGUCACUGAUUUUGUUGUUCUUACAUUUUUGAGUAGGACUCCAGACUCUUGCCUUUAUGAUGGUAUAGAUUCACAGAUGAGUAUCCGUAUGUCUGCACUGGAGUUCUACUGUAACAGACCCACACUUGUUGCUCUUAUCGAGUUUGGAGUUGAUGUCAGCAUGGUUAAUUCUGUGCCAAAGAGUGACCCUGACAUGGCAGGUGCAACACACAGUGCAAUACCCACUGGGAAGGAACACACUGGCCGUACUGUUGUUAAAGGACUGUUAGGUUAUGGAAAACGUCGAACUAUUUUCAACAUCAAAAUGGAUGUGGAUCGGGUAUCUAUGUUUCUUAACAAGGAAGAUGGUUCUCAGCUUGCGAUGUUUGUGCAGGAGAAAUUUCUGUUUGACCUGAAGGUUCACCCGGGCUCAUUUUCUAUUGAUGGUAUGCUUGGUAAUAUGAGAUUUUGUGACAUGUCCCUCGGGCCAGAUCAUCGGUGGGGUUGGCUUUGUGAUAUACGGAAACCAGGUGUUGAGUCGCUUAUAAAGUUUGCCUUCCAGUCUUACAGUGCUGACGAUGAUGACUACGAAGGUCAUAAUUACAGUCUGACUGGGCAGCUUUGUGCCGUCCGUAUUGUCUUUCUUUAUCGGUUUGUCCAGGAGUUUACUUCUUACUUCAUGGAGCUUGCUACCCCUCACACUGAAGAAGCAAUUAAGUUUAUGGAUAAAGUUGGAGGUUUUGAGUGGUUGAUUCAGAAAUAUGAGAUGGAUGGUUCUUCUGCUAUAAAGCUGGAUCUUUCACUUGAUACACCCAUUAUCAUUGUCCCGAAGAAUUCCCAGAGUGAAGACUAUAUACAACUGGAUUUGGGGCAACUGAAAGUUAAAAAUGAUUUUAGUUGGCACGGAGGUGAAGAGAGUGACCCAUCUGCUGUGCGUCUUGAUGUUCUCCAUGCUGAGAUAAAUGGAAUCAACAUGGCGGUUGGAGUCAAUGGCACUCUCGGGAAGUGUAUGAUUCAAGAGGGUCAUGGCAUCAAUGUAGGGGUGCGGCGUAGUCUGAGGGAUGUUUUCCGAAAGGUCCCAAUGCUCUCCAUGAAAGUUCAGAUAGGAUUACUGCAUGCUGUUAUGUCGGAUAAAGAAUACAACGUCAUCACAAGUUGUAUUUCGACAAAUCUAUCGGAGACACCCAAUCUUCCCCCCAGUUUCCGUGAAAACGUAAACCGGACAAAAGAGUCAAUACGCCUACUUGCGGAUAAAGUUAACCUUAAUAACCAUUUGAUGCUUUCACGUACUGUUGUCAUCAUGACUGUGAAUGUCCACUAUGCUUUGCUAGAACUUUGCAAUGGUCCAGAUGCCGAGUCACCUCUCGCGGAACUUGCUCUAGAAGGUUUAUGGGUUUCUUACAGGACAACUUCACUGUUUGAGAUGGAUCUAUAUUUGUCUAUACUUAAACUUUCGAUUCGUGAUAUCCGCCCAGAUACAAAGUCUGAGAUGCGCUUGAUGCUUGGAUCUUAUUCAGAGACUUCUAAGCUGAACACACCAGACCCUUCAUCAGAUGGGGGGGUUUCUAACCUAACCAUGCUGAUACUAGAUUAUCGAUGGCGUUCUUCCUUCAAAUCAUUUGUUAUAAGAGUCCAACAGCCUCGCAUACUUGUUGUCCUGGAUUUUCUUCUUCCAGUAGUUGAGUAUUUUGUGCCUUCGAUAGGUACAAUAACAGGCAGAGAGGAAAGUCUGGACCCAAAAAAUGACCCUCUUAUGACCUCAAAUGACAUUGUACUUUGUGGGCCUGUUUUCUUACAGAGAGAGAAUGUUAUUCAACUCUCUCCUGAGAGGCAACUAAUAGUUGAUGGUUGCGAUAUUGAUGAGUUUACUUAUGAUGGUUGUGGAGGCACCAUAUCAUUAUGUGAAGAGCUUGACAAGAAGGAGCAGUUAUACUCUGAGACUAUAAUCAUUGUUGGGCGGGGUAAAAAGCUAAGAUUCAAAAAUGUCAAAAUUGAGAAUGGUGCAUUACUGAGGAAGUGUGUUUACUUGAACACUGGAAGCAGCUAUUCAAUCUCUGCUGAAGAUGGUGUUGAGGUUUCAGUCUUGGAAACUUCUUUUAAUAACGAUGAAGACAAUCGUUUCCAAAGUGAAGAAUACAACAGACAAUUCAAUGCACUUCAGCCUGCUGCUGGUUCACCCUCAAACCAAAUGUUAAAUUUUACAUUUGAAGCGCAGGUUGUCUCGCCAGAAUUUACUUUUUAUGACAGUUCAAAGUUAACAAUGGAUGAUUCCUUGCACAUCGAGAAGCUUCUUCGUGCCAAGAUGGAUUUCAGUUUCAUGUAUGCUUCAAAAGAAAAAGACAUAUGGGCUCGAUCGGUCGUUAAAGACCUGACAAUAGAAGCUGGUUCCGGUCUUCUUGUUCUUGAGCCAGUAGAUUUUUCCUGGAAAUAUACUUCAGUCAGUGAAAAGACAAACAUAAUAUUGACAUCUUCAGAAAUAUGCAUCCAUCUUUCUCUCGGUGUUGCUUCUCUCAUGCUCAAACUGCAAAAUCAGACCCUUGCAGCUUUGCAGUUUGGCAAUAUUAACCCACUGGUUUCUUGCACCAACUUUAAGCGAGUUUGGGCGUCACCAGAAGGUGAUCUACCUGGUUACAAUCUCACCUUCUGGAGGCCACAAGCUCCUUCGAAUUAUGUUAUUUUGGGUGAUUGUGUGUCCUCAAGGUCUGUGCCACCUUCUCAGGUUGUGGUUGCUUUAAGCAACACCUAUGGCCGUGUGCGGAAACCUCUUGGUUUUAGGCUUGUACAUACAUUACCUGGAUCUCUAGACUUAGUGGAUUCCAAGAAGUCAAGUGAGCAAAAUGACUGUUCAGUCUGGGUUCCUGUGCCGCCACGUGGAUACUUAGCUCUAGGAUGUGUGGUAAAUAGUGGAAAUCAGCCACCUUCCAAUAAUGUUGUGUACUGCCUUCGUUCUGAUCUAGUGACUUCUGCAACAUUUUCAGACUGCAUACACACACUCUUGUCUGCUCCUGGAAUACUUUCUGGAUUUAGCAUCUGGCGUGUGGACAAUGUGAUUGGCACAUUCCAUGCACACAGUUCUGCAAACCAACCCAGUAGAACAGAAGCUCUUGAUUUGCAUCAUGUUCUGCUAAGGAAUCCAAAUUGCUAUAUCAUUAAAGAUCUGGCUGCAGAUUCUCCUGUUCGGAGUGACCAGCCAACUGAUCAAUUAAGUAAUCCUAAGAGUACUUCUGGGUGGGAUGUUGUUAGAACUUUGUCAAGACCAAGUAGCUAUUGCACGUCUACUCCACAUUUUGAAAGGAUAUGGUGGGAUAAAGGUGGCGACUCAAGGAGGCCAUUUUCAAUAUGGCGGCCAUUACCUCGUUUCGGCUUCGCUCCAGUUGGCGACUGUAUAACUGAAGGGCUUGAACCACCUACACUUGGCAUUCUUUGCAAGUGUGACGACAAGAUAGUUUCUGAAAAGCCUGUACGAUUCAUGAAAGUAGCACAAAUUGACAAAAAGGGCAUUGAUGACAUAUUCUUGUGGUAUCCAGUGGCACCUCCUGGAUACGCUUCUCUUGGAUGUGUUGUGACAAAAACAGAUGAGAUGCCAAGCAAGGAUUCCAUUUGCUGCCCUAAGUUGGGUUUGGUGAAUCAAGCAAAUAUCUCAGAGGACCCUAUCUCAAGGUCUUCCAGCUCAAAGGGACCUAACUGCUGGAGCAUCUGGAAAGUUGGAAAUCAGGGAUGUACUUUCCUUGCACGGCCUGAUCUGAAAAAACCAUCAGCUCGAUUGGCAUACAGUAUUGCAGAUCAUGCUAAGCCAAAGGCACCUGACAAUGUUACUGCUGAGUUGAAGCUGGGAUCUUUGUCAAUCAGCAUCCUAGAUAGCUCGUGUGGAAUGGUCACACCAAUUUUCGACACUACAAUCUCGAGUAUAAAUCUUGCAACACAUGGGAGAUUUGAGACAAUUAAUGUCGUGUUGAUCUGUUCAAUUGCUGCAUCCACAUUCAAUAGACACUUGGAAGCAUGGGAACCUUUGGUUGAGCCAUUUGAUGGAAUAUUCAAGUUGGAAACAUAUGAUACCAGUGAGCACCCUCCUUCCAAAGUUGGUAAGAGGAUUCGUGUUUCUGCAACAAGUCCUCUAAAUGUCAACCUGAGUUCUGCAAAUCUUGAUUUGCUUAUCGAAACUUUAAUUUCAUGGCGAAGACAAAUUGAUCUUGAAAAUAGAUCAUCAAUCAGAAAUGAGGAUUCUUUGGAAAAUUUAAAAAUAGCUGACAAUUUGUCCAGUUCUGCGUUGGAUGAAGAUGAUUUCCAGAGGGUAGUUUUCGAGAACAAAUUAGGAUGUGAUGUUUAUCUUAAGAAACAAGAAGAUAAUGAAAACACUAUUCAGCUAUUACAGCAUGACAAUCAAAUUUCACUGUUGAUGCCGCCUGCGAGGUUUUCCGAUAAGCUAAAUGUAUUGUCAAAUUCUACGGAAGCAAGAUAUUAUGUUGUCAUACAGAUCUUUGAGUCCAAGGGCUUGCCUAUCGUAGAUGAUGGUAAUGAUCAUAGCUACUUCUGUGCUCUGCGCUUGCUCAUAGGAAGUCAGACUUCUGAUCAGUACAAGGUAUUCCCACAGAGUGCCAGGACAAGAUGCGUAAACCCUGUGAAAACAGCUGAGUUACAGACACAUCAUGCUAAGUGGAAUGAACAUUUUAUAUUUGAAGUUCCAGAACAGGCAUCAGCUAAUUUAGAGAUUGAGGUAACAAAUUUGGCAUCAAAGGCUGGCAAAGGUGAAGUACUUGGUUCUUUGUCAAUCCCUAUUGGAAGGGGAACAACAACAUUGAAACGAGCUGCUUCUAUCAGAAUCCUUCAGCAAGCUGCUGAUGUCAAGCGAGUAAUGACAUGUCCUCUUACUGGGAAGGCCACAGGACUCGAUGAGGGAGACAGGAAAGGCUGUGGUGCUUUAGUACUUUCAUGUUGUUACAUAGAACGAUCUACUCAAACAGACUUCCAGAGCUGGAAAGACAGCAUAAGCAAUGCAGAAACUGGUUUCUGGGUAGGGCUUACCCCAGAUGGUCCAUGGGAAAGUUUUACUGCAGUUUUACCACUGUCAAUCAUCCCAAAAUCACUUAAUAGUAAUCACUUUGCGUUUGAGAUCACCAUGAGAAAUGGAAAGAAACAUGCAACUUUGAGGUCCCUUGCUGUUAUUGCUAAUGAUUCUGACAUAAAACUUGAAGUUUCUGUAUGUCCCAUAAACAAGCUUAAUAGCUCCAUGAUAAAUGAUAAAUCAACCAGUUCCACCAACAACGUUGAUGAAGUAUUUGAAAACCAGUGGUAUCAACCCACUUCAGGAUGGACAAGUAACCAUUCUAGUGAUCAUGGAAUUGAGUUGGGGCAAUGGAGCACUAAGGACUGCUCUUACUCAUCUAAGGCAUUCUUUGAACCCCGUCUUCCACCUGAUUGGAAGUGGACUUCACCGUGGAAAAUCGAAAAAUCUACUUCCGUAGAUUGUGAUGGAUGGGCAUAUGCUGCUGAUAUUCAAAACUUAAACUGGCCGUCAUCCUGGAGAUCUUCUAAAUCACCACAUGACUAUGUUAGACGAAGGCGUUGGGUACGUUCGAGGCAGCUAUUGCAAGAACAAAGUGUGGAAAUAGCUAGGAAUGUAGUUGCUAUUGUGGAUCCAUAUUCAUCUACAGCGUUGCCUUGGACAGCCAUGAUCAAAGAUAUGGAUUUGUGCUUGCAAGUUCGGCCUUUUUCUGUAAAAUCAGACGAAUCAUACAAUUGGAGUCAGGUUCUUUCACUAGGUUGUGACAGCCUACCUAAGCAGCAGCAGUCUUCACUUUCUAGGCAAAGCACCAUGAAGCAAUCAUCUGUUCCAUCAAGGAAUUCUGUUCUUAGGCUUGCUGAGCUCGAGAAAAAAGAUGUUCUUUCAUACUGCUCCCCUCUUGUUGGUAUCAAACAAUAUUUCUGGCUUAGUGUUGGAGUUGAUGCUUCCAUUGUUCAUACGGACUUAAAUAUGCCUGUUUACGACUGGAAGUUCUCUUUCAAUUCAAUUCUUAGACUUGAAAAUAAGCUUCCAUAUGAAGCUGAGUAUUCUAUUUGGGAGAAGUCAGCUGAAGGUAAUAUGGUUGAAAGACAGCAUGGUAUUGUAUCGUCAGGUGGAAGCGCAUUCAUUUAUUCAGCAGAUAUUCGGAAAUCCAUUUAUCUCACACUGUUUGUUCAAAAUGACUGGAUUUUAGAAAAGGAUGCUGAACUGAUAAUGGACUUGCUGUCCCUGGAACACGUUUCUUCUUUCUGGAUGGUUCAGAAACGAACCCAGAGGAAAUUGCGUGUUAGUGUUGAACAUGAUCUCGGAGCAAGUGAUGCUGCACCAAAGACGAUAAGAUUAUUUGUUCCAUAUUGGAUAAAAAACAAUUCUUCCAUUCCACUAGCUUAUCGUAUUGUGGAAAUUGAACAAGCAGUAAAUGCAGAUGUAGACUCACUGAGCAGACCGGACUCACUCAGCAGACCAGACUCAUUGAGCAGAGUGGCUAAAUCUUCAAAAUUUUCCCUCAGAUAUUCUUCAAAAUCUCUUGUCAGAAGAGGCAGCGUAUCACAGAAAAACACACAAAUAUUAGAAGUUAUCGAAGAUUGUGCUAUGAACUAUAUAAUGCUUUCACCACAGGAUUAUGUGAACAGCUCGACAAAUACGCGCGAGUCUCGGGAUAACACCUUCCGCCCGGCACAGGUUGCGAUUUGUGUGGCUGUUGGAAGAUGCAAACAGUACAGUAUUGGAGUGUCCCUCUUUGAGCUCGAGAACAAGGAGAAUGUCGAUGUUAAAGCAUUUGGUUCUGAUGGAUCAUAUUACUGGUUCUCAGUUCAACUGAAGAUGGCUUCAGAUAGGACUAAGGUAGUGAAUUUUCUUCCGCGUGCACUUUUUAUUAAUAGAACUGGGAGAGGUAUUAUUUUAUCAGAGUAUCAUAGUGAGGUUGAGGAGCAUUUACAUCCAACUGAUCCUCCAAAAGUGUUCCAAUGGCGUUCAGAAUUUGGAAACAAAUUUUUAAAGUUGCGGAUGGAGGGAUACAAAUGGAGUACACCAUUUAGCAUUGAUGCUAAUGGAGUUAUGUGUGUGCUCAUGAAUAGUGUUACAGGAAAUGAUCAAGUUUUUGUGAGGGUAAAUGUUAGAAGUGGAACAAAAAGUUCACGUUAUGAAGUUGUAUUUCAACUUGCUUGCUGGUCCAGCCCGUACAGGGUGGAGAAUCGCUCCAUGUUCUUGCCUGUACGAUUUCGUCAAGUUGGUGGUGAUGAUUAUGCUUGGCGUAGUCUACCUCCAAAUUCAUCAGCUUCCUUCUUCUGGGAGGAUCUUGGCAGAAGGCGUCUGUUGGAGGUAUUGGUAGAUGGAACUGAUGCUACGAGCUCUAUGACAUAUGAUAUUGAUGCCAUCAUGGAUCACCAGCCACUAGCUACCUCAAGUGGGCUUAAGAAGGCCUUACGUAUCACUGUUGUCAAGGAAGGCAAAUUGCAUGUUACACAAAUUAGUGAUUGGUUGCCAGAGAAUAGAACUCGAGGACAGAUAACUGAAAGACUAUUAUCACCAAUCUUUCAGCCAUCAGAGGUCGACUGUGGGCAGUCAUCUCAAGAUCUUGAUAGUGAAUUUCAUGUUACUUUGGAACUAACAGAGCUGGGCAUAUCCAUAAUUGACCAUAUGCCUGAGGAAGUUCUUUACCUCUCAGUCCAGCAAUUAUUACUUGCCUACUCAUCUGGAAUGGGUUCUGGAAUCAAUAGGUUUAAAGUGCGAAUGCACUGGAUUCAAGUGGACAAUCAAUUGCCUUUUGUUUCAAUGCCUGUCCUCUUUUGUCCUCAGAAGACGGACAAUCAAUCAGACCAUGUGCUCAAGUUCUCUAUGACGAUGCAGACCAAUAAUUCUCUAGAUUUUUGUGUUUAUCCAUAUAUUGGUGUGCAGGUUCCUGAGAAUUGUGUGUUUUUUGUUAACAUCCAUGAACCGAUUAUUUGGCGCCUCCACGAGAUGGUUCAACACCUAAAAAUUGAUAGGAUAUGUACCUCUCAGCCUUCAGCUGUUUCAAUUGAUCCUAUUCUGAAAAUAGGGCUUCUGAAUAUCUCUGAGGUCCGCUUUAGAGUAUCAAUGGCAAUGUCCCCAACCCAAAGGCCAAGAGGAGUUCUUGGGUUCUGGUCUUCCUUGAUGACUGCAUUGGGGAACAUGGAACACAUGCCGGUCCGUAUAGCUCAAAGGUACCGUGAGGAGUUGUGCAUGCGACAAAGUGCACUAAUGAACUCUGCUAUAUCUAACAUCCAAAAAGAUCUUCUUAGCCAACCUCUUCAACUACUUUCUGGUGUUGAUAUUCUUGGCAAUGCCAGUAGUGCUUUGAGUAACAUGAGCAAGGGUAUAGCAGCACUGUCCAUGGACAAGAAGUUCAUUCAGGCCCGGAUGAGACAGGAUAGCAAAGGCGUCGAAGAUUUUGGUGAUGUCAUACGAGAUGGAGGUGGGGCUCUCGCGAAGGGAAUCUUCAGAGGUGUCACGGGCAUAUUGACAAAGCCCAUUGAGGGUGCAAAAUCUUCUGGUGUUGAGGGCUUUGUACAGGGAGUUGGAAAAGGCUUAAUUGGUGCAGCUGCUCAGCCAGUGAGUGGAGUUCUUGAUCUUCUGUCGAAAACCACUGAAGGUGCAAAUGCUGUAAAAUUGAAAAUAUCAUCAGCUAUAAUGGCUGAGGAGCAGUUGCUGCGUAGACGUCUCCCCCGAGCAAUUGGUGGUGAUAGCUUGAUCUAUCCUUAUGACGAGUAUAAAGCAGCUGGCCAGGCUGUCUUGCAGUUAGCUGAAUCUGGUACGUUUCUUGGCCAAGUUGACCUUUUUAAAGUGCGAGGAAAGUUUGCAUCUACUGAUGCUUAUGAGGACCAUUUCAUACUUCCCAAGGGGAAAAUUCUCUUAGUUACGCACAGAAGAGUAUCGUUACUUCAGGUACCGAUGAUGACCCAGAGAAAGUUCAAUCCUGCAAAGGAUCCAUGCUCGGUAAUCUGGGAUGUAUUAUGGGAUGAUCUUGUCACAUUGGAGACUACUCAUGGGAAAAAAGAUGCUCCUGGAUCCUUGCCUUCAAAGCUUAUUUUGUAUUUGAAGGCUAAGCCUGCGAAUUCGAGGGAAGCUGUUCAUUUGAUCAAGUGUAAUCGUGGUUCUGAUCAAGCGACUAUCAUUUACUCAUCAAUUGAUAAAGUCUAUAGAACCUAUGGCCCAAAUGCAAUCAAGGAAUUACUGAGAUGGAAGGUCCCAAAGCCAUAUGCCCCUCGCAAUACCAACCGUCACAGUGUUCAAGAUUUAUCAUUUGCAUAG